GCCGCCGGACCCCGAUUUCUGUUCUUAUCCUGAAGCAAAGUUCUUAACCUGAAGCACUAUUUCUAGGUUAGCAGAGUGUGUAACCUGAAGCGUAUGUAACCUGAAGCGUAUGUAACCCGAGGUACCACUGUACUGAGUUAUCUCACAUGUCAAAGUCACUGGUCUGAAUAAAAAAAUCCUAUGCCUUAUAGUGUUCAAGUUAUGAGUGAAGGAUGAGAAUUAGGGAAUUGCUGUAUACACACAUGACUUCUAGAGCCGCUCCAGGAUUAGGAUCCCUGCAGCUUAAGCUUCCUUGGUUUCAUAGUAGAUCUGCCCUUGCAUGCAAGUAAACAUAAGACGGGUGUACAAGUAGCUAACUUUAAUGGGAACUUAAAUCCUAAGGUGCUCCCAGGUGACCUGUUUACUGAGCAUUCAUCCUGAUUUCUUUGCGAGGAGAUCAGAUGAUGUUGGCUGUUGAACUAGCAUUCGUUCUGGUUUGUCUGCAGGGAGGUUAGAUGAUGUUGCAUCAUGCAAGUGUUAUCCCAUACUUGCCAGUGCACUUUCAUGCCACUUAUUGCAAAAAGCUGUUUUUUUUUUUGCAGAAGUGGGCUUCUUGUGCAAGAGCUCCCCAUACAGUAUAAUUGCACACCCUGAAUUUACCUGUAUGUGAUUGUAUCCUACCUGCAAAGAGCAAUGGCCUGAAGUACUCCUAAGGAAAUCUCCAGAAUUUUGAAAUAGUUUUCGUUUCCCCCCUCCCAAUUUGAACAACCCUCCCCACUAAUUUCAGUUCCUGGGGAAAACACUGAUGGCUACAUAGUUGUAGCACAGGAAUAGAGGGCAUUUUUCAGCCCAAUAGGCACAUUCCCUCAUGUAUGGUGUCAAUGUGACGUAAAUCAGUUAACGUUAGCAUAAACUUGCAUGUGAGCAGAAAGAAUUCUGAAAAAAUCCCCCCCAAAAUUCUUUGUUUUUAGAUGACGCAUCUGUGUUUCGCAACAGAAAUGAUCUCAGAAGAGGUGUUCGGCGUUUCCAGACUAUCUUCAGGUGGGAUUCAACCACAGACAGGCAAAUCCAGGUUUUGCCAUUAUAGCCUAUUGGGAAGUCUUGUGGAACAAACCUGCUUCACCCCCAAAAGAUUUAUUUUUUUGCAGUAAGGAAAGUGGCAAGAAAUUGCACUGGAAGCUGUGGGACAACCCAUGCUUUGAUACGUCAUCUAACCUCAAAAUCAGAAUGAAUGCUCAUUCUGGAUGAAUUCUCUGAAGCAUUUCAACUAGAAUUAACUGUUGACUUGUGUGUGAGAGCAAACCAACAAUCAUGCUUCUUCAAAGAUGAUGCAGCCCUAUUUUAAACAAAUCCAGUAUUUUGGCUGAAAAGAAAUCUGCCUCUAGUCAUUUAUUUUGAACCACACUAGCAUUGGCUUUAAAAUAUAGGUGUCGUUUUCUUUAAUUUUCUUAAACAAGACAGUCCCCACCCCCCACCCCAGAAGUAAAUAUAUAGCACUCCUCCUUAAACCCCUGAAACUUUCCACAAAAGUAUUUUUGUGGCACUGUCGUGUGGUAGAUUGAAUUAGUGGAUUUCCAAGCACAGGGAAGAAAUUUUGCAGCCAGUUCAUCGUGAAAUUCUCUUGCAGUUAACCAUCAAUUGUUUUUUCUCACACACACCCAUGCUGUUUUGACGGAACGGUUUGUUUUUUCACGUCUGUCAGCUGGGAAAUCCGCACCCUCCUUUUCUUCAAAAAGAGAACUUUUCCUCAGAAUUUUCGAAUGGAAGAAGCUCGCUUGUUUUCAGGAUGUCACGAUGAAUGACUCAUGGGCUUUGGACUGAUCCUUCGGUGUGAUGAGGAAAUUCGAGAGCUGACAAGAGGAAAGAGGCAGCUUUGGAUUUGCUAGGGCAUAUUUCCUUGUCUAAUUGGAAUGCUUAUUACAAUUUGCUGUUCCUCCAAUGGGGAUUUCUCCUGACUCUCUGAUUUCAGUAUCGGCUUCAUAAUUGCAUUCAGUUGCAUUCUCCGGAGGUAAAGAAGAACUGAUACCGUUUUCAAGAAAAUGUAAUGCAAAGUUAGCCUAGUGACUGCAGAGUUUGAACCAACCCCCCUCCCACUCCCCACAACCACCAUUAGCUGACGUGAUUAUUACAUCAGCACUCCUUUUCCUCAGCUGCUGUUCGGGAGAAAUCCCCAUUGGGACGCUGGUGGGUGGAGGACUUUAAUGUGUGGAGGGGAUGUGUUUCAGCACUCGAAGGCUCCUGUCUCACCGCCUCCACUUUCAGUUUUUAGUCCUAAGAGGUCAGUAGCGAUGGGUGGAAAACAGAGGCCCACCAAAAAUGAUAUAUGAGGCCAUCCUUAGAUCACAAGUGACUCAAAAUGCAUCAGUGACCCUAAUGGGACUUCUGAAUGUUACACGUGUCCUUCCAAAGUCAACAGCAUUCGAAGUAAGAAUUUGUGUACCUCUCCAAACCACAGAGCCUAGGACUUGCCGAUCGGAAGGUCAGCGGUUCGAAUCCCCGUGAUGGGGUGAGCUCCCAUUGUUUGGUCCCAGCUCCUGCCAACCUAGCAGUUCGAAAGCACACCAGUGCAAGUAGAUAAAUAGGUACCACUCUGGCGGGAAGGUAAACGGCGUUUCCGUGCGCUGCUCUGGUUCACCAGAAGUGGUUUAGUCAUGCUGGCCACAUGACACGGAAGCUGUCUGUGGACAAACGCCAGCUCCCUCGGCCUAUAGAGCGAGAUGAGCGCCGCAACCCCAGAGUUGUCCGCGACUGGACCUAAUGGUCAGGGGUACCUUUACCAAACCUUUGAGGAUGAGAUACCCUUGCACUUGGGGUUGUGACUCUGUAUCAGAGAAUCCGCUUUGCAUGCAGAAGGCCCCGGAUUCAAUCCUUGGCACCUCCAGGUAGGGCUGGGAAUAUCUCCUCUCUGAAAACCAGAGAGCAGCUGCCUGUCAGUGUUGACAGUGCUGAGCUAGAUGGAUCAAUGGUCUGAGUCAGCAGCUUCCUGUGCAAAACACACACGAGCGGUGUGUGGCUGCCCCGUGUGGUGAACCACUGAACUGCAGUUGGCAGUGUUCUUCAUGCACUGGGACUAUGUGGUCCACCCAGGCUGGUCAUUGGAUAUCCCUGGGAAGGAAGUACACUGAUCUGCUCACUGAGUGAAACCAAAAUCAACACAUUAGCCUGCCUCAGUCACAAGAGCUGCCUAACUUAGCACUCCUCAAGUUAGCCCUCAAGGGCAGUGGAAGACGUUGCUCAUUGUCAGUGUCAAAGUGAGAUUCAGCUGCAAGUCUGGUUGGCUUUUGUACACACAAGGGGAGAGAGGUUCAUUUUGUCUUUUGCCUCAGGUUGCAAAAGGUCUUGAGUCGGCCAGGGCAAACAACAACCAAAAUGAUCAAGGGGAUGGGGCAAGUCACCUGUGAAGAAAUAUUUCAGUGCUGGGGACUUUUAGGUUUAGAGAAAAGGGGAAUAAGAGGUUGUCAGUUUGCAUUUCUUAGUAAAGAAAGUAUUGAUCUGAUGUGUAGAGAUAUUUCCUAUUCCAAUUAAUUCAUGAGGGUUCUGGAAGCUUCUCUGUGUGAAAGAAAUGAGCAGAAGGUUCAUGAUGGUUAUUAUUAUGGUGCCUCUCCCAAUAUGUAACCCAAAGUAAAAACAAUAUUAAACCAUAAAAUGAAAAUUUU
Molecule: long non-coding RNA, 3635 nt
Filed under: Podarcis lilfordi (Lilford's wall lizard)
Lineage: Eukaryota; Metazoa; Chordata; Lepidosauria; Squamata; Lacertidae
Source: RNAcentral